AUUGAACGCUGGCGGCAGGCUUAACACAUGCAAGUCGAGCGGGGUGAUGGUGCUUGCACUAUCACUUAGCGGCGGACGGGUGAGUAAUGCUUAGGAAUCUGCCUAUUAGUGGGGGACAACAUCUCGAAAGGGAUGCUAAUACCGCAUACGCCCUACGGGAGAAAGCAGGGGAUCACUUGUGACCUUGCGCUAAUAGAUGAGCCUAAGUCGGAUUAGCUAGUUGGUGGGGUAAAGGCCUACCAAGGCGACGAUCUGUAGCGGGUCUGAGAGGAUGAUCCGCCACACUGGGAAUGAGACACGGCCCAGACGCCUACGGGAGGCAGCAGUGGGGAAUAUUGGACAAUGGGGGGAACCCUGAUCCAGCCAUGCCGCGUGUGUGAAGAAGGCCUUAUGGUUGUAAAGCACUUUAAGCGAGGAGGAGGCUCUUUUGGUUAAUACCCAAGAUGAGUGGACGUUACUCGCAGAAUAAGCACCGCUAACUCUGUGCCAGCCGCCGCCGUAA
This 502-nucleotide ribosomal RNA is filed under the name uncultured bacterium. RNAcentral describes it as "partial 16S ribosomal RNA". It matches the Rfam family "Bacterial small subunit ribosomal RNA", at positions 30 to 523 of the family's 1533-position model. The record is from RNAcentral.